AGUGAACGCUGGCGGUAGGCCUAACACAUGCAAGUCGAACGGCAGCACAGUAAGUUCUUGCUCUUACGGGUGGCGAGUGGCGGACGGGUGAGGAAUACAUCGUACUCUACUUUUUCGUGUGAGAUAACGUAGGGAAACUUACGCUAAUACCGCAUACGCCCUACGGUUGAAAGCAGUGGAUCUUCGGACCUUGCGCGAUUGAAUGAGCGGAUGUCGGAUUAGCUAGUUGGCGGGGUAAAGGCCCACCAAGUCGACGAUCCGUAGCUGGUCUGAGAGGAUGGUCGGCGACACGGGAACUGAGCCGCGCACCAGGCUACUACGGGAGGCAGCAGUGGGGUAUAGUGGGCAAUGGGCGCAAGCCUGACCCAGCGAGACCGCGUGUGUGACGAAGACGUUCGGGUCGUAAAGCCCGUUUGUGGGGAGAGAAAAGCAGCAGGCUGAUACCAAGCUGUUGUGACGGUAACGAAUGAAUAAGCUCCGGCUAACUUCGUG
Molecule: ribosomal RNA, 492 nt
Filed under: uncultured bacterium
Lineage: Bacteria
Description: partial 16S ribosomal RNA
Rfam family: Bacterial small subunit ribosomal RNA
Source: RNAcentral